GCUACAAAUGGGGGUGGAGCAAAAGCAAAGAGAAAGAAAGGGGUGUGGAGCUAUACUGUAAGCCAGAAACACUCCCACAUUCAUUCUUACACUCUAAGCACAUACCAAGAGCUCAUUCCGGGUUUUCCCGCACCGUCGAAGAGGGGACACACCAGAAACUGCUUGGUCUCGCACAGAAUUUGUUUCAUUCAUCGUAGCUGAGAACCACUGAAAGAUUUUGUUGACGUAGACAAAAGGAAACUGAAUCUGGAUUUAUACAACACUGUCACACUUGUGGAUUUAGAUUUCUGAUACUUAGGAUAUUGCCUCUGUGCGGCGUGUGGAAUUUGCCGGUCAUGUCUGGACGAGUGAGUGUGUUCACUCACACCGUUAGCCGCCUGUUGUGACCACUGCGGUCCUCCUCAGUUUCAAGGUGCCACACGCUUUUGAGGUGAAAGCCUGAAGCCUCAAGUUCACAGGAAACGCUUCGUCAUCAGCCACAUACAGCACUCCUAUGUCUGACGGCCCCGUGAUGGGAGAGGCUAUCCCCUUGCAGACAGUACCCAUCCAGAAGUCGGAAGGAAAGAGGCCCAGCAGACGGAUCAAGCUUUACAGGAAGCUGGCUGUCUGCAGCAUUAUCUGUGGGAUAUCUUGCUUGGGCAUUCUGGCUCUGAUCAACUCUGUCAGAGCACAGGAGAAGAGGGACACAGAUGUGGAGAGCGCUCAGAAGUUUUCCCGUCAGGCACGGAAAUAUAGCGUCAUCGCCAUCGUGGUGUGGGUGGGGAUCCUGGUUCUCACCCCGGUCAUGAUGGCCUUGGUAUCAUACCUGCUGCGUAUUGCAGAGUGACUCAGUUUACAGCUUAGUCCACGUUCCAGACGGGCCGCUUUUGUCCAACUGGGCGUGGAAAUCCAGUUCCUAUGGCCAUGACUCCUGCCUGCCUUCUAGUAACAGUAUAACAGGUCAGACAUGGUGCCUAUGACGACUGCCGGCAGCCAGGCAAAUCCCAUUCAUACACUGAUUAAUUUUUGGAUGACAGAGCCAUUAAAAAGCAUUAACUUAAGAAUGACACUAAACAAUGCUCGGGAAUUUUGGUUUAAUGAUCAGGUCCUGUGUAGGCUCAAGAAAAGCAUCACGUGGCUAGUAUCUUAGUAGAAAAUUAAUCUUUUUGCGACUAUUUGGCAUUAAGUGUUACUCAUAUCUUAAAUUAUAUAAUGUUUCUUGGGUUAGUCUGACUUAAUUUAUGUUAUGGAGAAGAAAUUGUUACACUGUCAAUUUUAACUUGUUACAUUUUUUGAAUUUCAGAUUUUAUUUACUUUUAUUUACU
Paramormyrops kingsleyae is the source of this 1304-nucleotide long non-coding RNA. RefSeq lists it as uncharacterized. Lineage: Eukaryota; Metazoa; Chordata; Actinopteri; Osteoglossiformes; Mormyridae. The record is from RefSeq and is a predicted model, not a curated record.